This 253-nucleotide ribosomal RNA is filed under the name uncultured bacterium. RNAcentral's name for it is "partial 16S ribosomal RNA". It matches the Rfam family "Bacterial small subunit ribosomal RNA", at positions 524 to 776 of the family's 1533-position model. The record is from RNAcentral.
UACGUAGGGGGCAAGCGUUGUCCGGAUUUAUUGGGCGUAAAGAGCGUGUAGGCGGCCAGACAGGUCAGCUGUGAAAACUCGAGGCUCAACCUCGAGACGUCGGUUGAAACCGUCUGGCUAGAGUCCGGAAGAGGAGAGUGGAAUUCCUAGUGUAGCGGUGAAAUGCGUAGAGAUUAGGAAGAACACCAGUGGCGAAGGCGACUUUCUGGACCGUAACUGACGCUGAGGCAUGAAAGCGUGGGUAGCAAACAGG